Molecule: long non-coding RNA, 1832 nt
Filed under: Mytilus galloprovincialis (Mediterranean mussel)
Lineage: Eukaryota; Metazoa; Mollusca; Bivalvia; Mytilida; Mytilidae
Source: RNAcentral
AUAAUAAAUGAUAAAACGACCACGAAACGUUAUGAAGUUGUUAACAUUGGAGCUGCUCAUACUUUUAGUGAUCAAUGUAAAUACAAUAUCGGGUAAGUGCUUCUUUGAUAUGUUUAGUACCAAACCAAUCAGAUGUUUCAGUGUUUUAUGGUAAUUAUGGUAAUGUUCUCUGCAUAGCACCAACAUGUCGUCAUUUACCUGAAAAGUUUACCAAACCUGUUAACCGAAUUAUGUGCGAGAAAUACAUUAAGAUACUGUUGUAUAUAUUGUCUUUGCCUCGGAAAUAAACACACUAGGAGUACUUUUUAAAUUGAUGUUAAUCUCAUUCAUUCUUCUUAGUUUCUUCUAUAAUAUUUUCGUACUUCGGGCUACAUGUACAAUUUCUUUCAAACUGAAUGUUACUGUACAUAAUGGAAUGUUUUUUCUUCUAUGUUGUCCAAAUUGAACCGAACCGACUGGUAAUAGCGAUAUGUCCCUCUUUCAUGUUUAAAACAAGACAACGUUUUGUCCUAUAUCACAGCUUAUUUUCCCCUUAAACGAAAAGGGUUUUCUGAUCAUACAAUUGGUAUUCAGUUGUACUUAGUUGCUUUAUUAUCUGAAUAUUUUCAAAUAUGGGGAAGAUAAUAUUAGAAAAUCUACUUUCUUAACUGUUUCAGCCUUAAAAUUUCAUGCAUUUUAUAUAGUUAUAUGUACAUGAUGUAAUAGGUAAAACGUUAAUGCACCUGAUAACAUGUAUAUUCGAUUUUUAUUGAUAAUCUUAAUAAAAGGAAAAAAAGACACUUGUCAUUAUAGAAUAUCAUAAUACUGCAUGCGCUGGAUAUGUGUAUUCGUUUCUGUUUAUCUAUAUCUACUACAAAUCACAAAUGGGAAUUAUAAAAGAUAGAACACUUUAAACGAAUAAAUAACAACUGUCAUACUCCUGACUUUAUGCAGGCAUUUUCAUAUGUGGAACAUUGUGAGUUGAACCUGGUUUUAUAGCUAUGUAAACUUCUCACUUGUAUGACAGUUGCAUAAAUUUCCAUUAUUGACAACGAUGUGUGAACAAAACAAACAGACAUGCUGGAUUCAAAUAUCAAAAUUUGGGUACAGCAGUCACUGUUGUGUUAUACUCCUUCUAACUUCAAAACAAAGAAAUAUGUUACAAACAAACACAGGAAGGCAUAUAGAAAAAGCACAUAACAAAAUUGAAAGACAAGAAUUAAAAAAAACCUUACCAUAACACGAAAUCACUACGACGGCAUGUAUAAACUGGAAAAAUAUUCUCAGCUUGCUAACUGUGAACUUACUGCUGUAAUAUUUUGUCCUUUUUUGCAUUGAAAUCUUUUAUUGAUAUUAAGAUUUUGAUUUUUUCUUGCAAAUUAACCGAAUAAAAUUGAUAAAUCUAUAAAGUUUAGAGAUUUCACAAAUGUUUUGUACAGAAACAUUACAUUAUAUAAUAUAUCUGAGGUUGAUGGUAUCACGUUAUAUGUCAUAUAGAGAUUUGAUUAGACCUUUGUAACUGUGACUGAUACCACUGACAUGACGUCAUACAUAUUAGAAGUUUGGUAAACCCUUUUGAGCAAUCAGUUUUAUCAAUAUCCCAUCAAUUGUUUCUCAUAUGUAAUCUGCUGAGUCAGAAGUAUAUAUAUAUUGAACAUACAAAUGUACCACAUGUAUAACUAUUUAUUGUUUUGAAGUUUGAAAAAUAUAUCUUUCACAGGAAUUGUUAAUAGUAGUUGUACUUUCGAAAGUGGCCAGUGCGGUUGGUCGGUCAAUGGUUUGAAUAGAUACAAGUGGAAACGUCAACGUGGAAACGCCCGUCAUUCAUCUACAGGACCAGACAAAGAUCACAC